RNAcentral lists this ribosomal RNA (661 nucleotides) under uncultured Dothideomycetes. RNAcentral describes it as "eukaryotic LSU rRNA". The stretch from base 192 to 345 matches the Rfam family "5.8S ribosomal RNA". The record is from RNAcentral. Lineage: Eukaryota; Fungi; Ascomycota; Dothideomycetes.
AGGAUCAUUAUAGUGAAAAGCUAUAGACUUGGUGUCUAAGGAUGAAACCAUAAAGGUUAAUCCUACACCGCCCAACCUUGUUAAUAAAUUUAACGUUACCUCGGUAGGUUAGCCUGCUGGUGGACAAUUUAAAAACCUUUUUAAACAUACCUGUAAAUACAUUUGUCUGAUAAUUUUUAAAAUAAAAUUAAAACUUUCAACAACGGAUCUCUUGGUUCUGGCAUCGAUGAAGAACGCAGCGAAAUGCGAUAAGUAGUGUGAAUUGCAGAAUUCAGUGAAUCAUCGAAUCUUUGAACGCACAUUGCGCCCCUUGGUAUCCCAGGGGGCAUGCCUGUUCGAGCGUCAUUUCUACCAUUCAAGCUUUGCUUGGUUUUGAAUAUAUUGUAGUACUUUAAGUAGUUAUACAUAUUCUAAAUAUAGACGGCAGCAAGUAUAAGUUCUAAGCGUAGCAGUAAAACAUUUCGCUUUUGCACUUAUAUUUUGUUAAACCGAAAUAAAGUAUAUUUACAGUUUGACCUCGGAUCAGGCAGGGAUACCCGCUGAACUUAAGCAUAUCAAUAAGCGGAGGAAAAGAAACCAACAGGGAUUGCCUUAGUAACGGCGAGUGAAGCGGCAAUAGCUCAAAUUUGAAAUCUGGCACCUUUGGGUGUCCGAGUUGUAA